This 253-nucleotide ribosomal RNA is filed under the name uncultured bacterium. RNAcentral describes it as "partial 16S ribosomal RNA". It matches the Rfam family "Bacterial small subunit ribosomal RNA", at positions 524 to 776 of the family's 1533-position model. The record is from RNAcentral.
CACGUAGGGCGCAAGCGUUGUCCGGAAUUAUUGGGCGUAAAGAGCUCGUAGGCGGUCUGUUGCGUCUGCUGUGAAAACCCGGGGCUUAACCCCUGGCUUGCAGUGGAUACGGACAGACUAGAGGUAGGUAGGGGAGAAUGGAAUUCCCGGUGUAGCGGUGAAAUGCGCAGAUAUCGGGAGGAACACCAGUGGCGAAGGCGGCUCACUGGACUGGUAUUGACGCUGAGGUGCGAAAGCGUGGGGAGCAAACAGG